Molecule: long non-coding RNA, 1061 nt
Filed under: Ursus maritimus (polar bear)
Lineage: Eukaryota; Metazoa; Chordata; Mammalia; Carnivora; Ursidae
Description: lncRNA (ENSUMAG00000022548.1)
Source: RNAcentral
UAAAAUGGUAAUUUGCCAAAUACAGCUUUAGAACAAAGGAUCCUACACGGUGUCGCAGUCUCCAGACACCAAGUCAGGGUGCGGCUGCAUGCUUUUUGUUAAGUCCUCUCACGGAAUUAAUGCGGUGGUCUGUAGAUCUUUUUAGCUGGAGAGGAGAGAGAGAGAGGAGAGAGAGAGAAAGGAGGAGAAGGAGUAGGAGGAGAAGAAAAAGCUCUCAGAGUUUUGGAAGAGCUGUGGAAGAAGGUUUUAGCACAUGGAAUUCCCUGGAGAGGAAAAUAUAGAAAAUCUAAGAUGGAUUUGAGAAAGUUAUAUUGGAAAACACACACACACCCAUACACACACCCAUACACACACCCAUAUACACACCCAUACACACACACACACGCGCACACACACACAUGCAAGUGCGCGCACACACACACCCAUACACACACCCAUAUACACACCCAUACACACACACCCAUAUACACACACACCCAUACACACACAUCCAUACACACACCCAUACACACACCCAUACACACACACGCACACACACACAUGCAAGUGCGCGCACACACACACCCAUACACACACCCACACACACACCCAUACACACCCAUACACACACACACGCAAGUGCGCACACACACACACCCAUACACACACCCAUAUACACACCCAUACACACACACACCCAUACACACCCCCAUACACACCCCCAUACACACCCCCAUACACACCCCCAUACACACCCCCAUACACACCCCCAUACACACCCCCAUACACACCCCCAUACACACACCCAUAUACACACACCCCCAUAUACACACUCAGACACACACACCCAUACACACCCCCAUAUACACACACCCAUACACACACCCAUAUACACACCCAUACACACAUCCAUACACACACCCAUACACACACACACCCAUACACACACCCAUACACACACACACGCACACACACGCAAGUGCACACACACACAUACACACACCCAUACACACACCCAUAUACACACCCACACCCACACACCCAUACACACACACACGCACACACACAUGCAAGUGCGCGCG